UCAAUGUCUCUGAGUUGGCUUUCUAAACCCUCAACAUAGGCUACUAACUCUGGUGGUUGUAGAGCCCAAAUGCGAUGUGUUUUACAAAAUUGAAUCUGUCUUUUGAGAUGAGUUUUGACACGUUGAAGUGGUUUAAGAAUGUUCAGGAGGAACGGUCUAAGUAAGGUACUCAUGAUUAAAAACGAUAAGAGAAAACUUAAUGGUAAAAUAAACACACUUAUGCAAAAACAAUUUCAAUUAGCAAAAGAAUAAUAAUAAAAAGAAAUAAAGAAAAAUCAAAUCAACGAAAAGAAAAAAAAAUCAAUUCAAAUCUGGUGGGUCACUCAAAUUUAUUUCGGUGUCUUCUCCAUGUGGUUGGUACUCUAGAUAUGGCUUUAAUCUUUGACCAUUAACUUUAAACGUGACACCAUUCUUUGGGUCUUUAAUUUCAAUUGCCCCAUGUGGAAAAACAGUAUGAACAAUAAAUGGGCCAGACCAACGAGAGCGUAACUUACC
RNAcentral lists this long non-coding RNA (495 nucleotides) under Citrus sinensis (sweet orange). RNAcentral describes it as "long non-coding RNA (CSIN_LNC002640)". The record is from RNAcentral. Lineage: Eukaryota; Viridiplantae; Streptophyta; Magnoliopsida; Sapindales; Rutaceae.